UAGAGAAAUUCAAGUAAGGUACAGCCUACUUGAAUCAGGAUACAACCUAAACCUGAGGGUAACUUUGCCUAUGCCUGAUCAAGUAGGCCUAAAAGCAGCCACCUUUAAAAUAGCGUCACAGCUUAGUCGAACCCUUAAUUUAAUCCCAAAAGUCUUUACGAACCCCACCGCAGUACCAAGCAAUUCUAUACAACUAUAGAACCUUUUAUGUUAAAACUAGUAACAAGAAGACCCAACUUCUCUUUAAUGCGAGCAUACAUCAGACAGGACAAACCACUGAUAUUUAACAUACCUGAUCUCACAGUAGAAACAUUACAAGAAAACUCUACUAAACUAUAUGUUAACCUAACACCAGAGCAUUUCAAGAAAGAUUAAAAGAAAAAGAAGGAACUCGGCAAAUUUUAACCCCGCCUGUUUACCAAAAACAUCGCCUCUUGCUUACCUAUAAGAGGACAGCCUGCCCAGUGACUCUGUUAACGGCCGCGGAUC
This 489-nucleotide ribosomal RNA is filed under the name Leptodactylus bolivianus (Bolivian white-lipped frog). Its description in RNAcentral is "partial 16S ribosomal RNA". Lineage: Eukaryota; Metazoa; Chordata; Amphibia; Anura; Leptodactylidae. The record is from RNAcentral.